Bacidia gigantensis is the source of this 100-nucleotide non-coding RNA. The record is from the annotation of a RefSeq genome assembly. Lineage: Eukaryota; Fungi; Ascomycota; Lecanoromycetes; Lecanorales; Ramalinaceae.
AGGUUCGUGGUCUAAUGGUUAUGAUUUCUCGUUCACACCCACGUUGAACAUUGUCGUUACAAUCCCGAGAAGGUUCCGGGUUCGAUCCCCGGCGAGCGUG